GCUUCUGGUGCAAGGAGAUUCUCCGCCUCAUGCUUCUGUUAUCCUCCGUUUGCCGACCCAAAUAUUAAUUAGAGAGCGAGAAAUUGUCCUGCGCAGAAGAAUGAGAUCUACUUCACCAGAAGCGUUUUGCUUUUCUUGAUUAAUCUGCCCAAGGAUUUCUAGCUACAGCUAAACAUGCCAGUUUGAAGAUGACAAUAGCAAAGAUAGUAUAUAGCUUUUGGGAUCCAGUCAUAUCUACAGCCUGAUUACCCAGCAAAAAACUAUACACGAUCAUCUGCAAUUGCAGAAUUUCAAGUUUUUAAUUUAUUUAUCCAUAAAAGGAUCAUAGCUACUAUGGAAGUUCAAAACUUGCUUUUAGCGGUUUGUCCAGACUUAUCAGUCCCAUUGGAUAGAUAUGGAAAACAAUCAUGCCUUAUUAAGUCACCUCAAUUGCCUUCUCCAUCCUAUUGUUCUUUCAUUCAGUUCCAGAAACUGGCAUCUAAGGGAGCCUGUAACUGUAUUACCUACAAAGUGUCU
Molecule: long non-coding RNA, 516 nt
Organism: Neltuma alba
Lineage: Eukaryota; Viridiplantae; Streptophyta; Magnoliopsida; Fabales; Fabaceae
Exons: 3
Source: RefSeq, a predicted model, not a curated record